CUAAUUCCGUGCCAGCAGCCGCGGUAAUACGGAAGGUGCAAGCGUUAUCCGGAAUCACUGGGUUUAAAGGGUGCGUAGGCGGUUGCGUAAGUCAGAAGUGAAAGCUCACAGCUUAACUGUGGAAUUGCUUUUGAUACUGCGCGACUAGAAUUAGGUUGAGGUUGGCGGAAUGUGACAUGUAGCGGUGAAAUGCAUAGAUAUGUCAUAGAACACCAAUUGCGAAGGCAGCUGACUGGACCUAUAUUGACGCUGAGGCACGAAAGCGUGGGGAGCGAACAGGAUUAGAUACCCUGGUAGUCCACGCCCUAAACGAUGCUUACUCGAUGUGUGAACUAUUGCGCAUCCAAGGGAAACCGUUAAGUAAGCCACCUGGGGAGUACGUUCGCAAGAAUGAAACUCAAAUGAAUUGACGG
This 413-nucleotide ribosomal RNA is filed under the name uncultured Sphingobacteriia bacterium. RNAcentral describes it as "bacterial SSU rRNA". It matches the Rfam family "Bacterial small subunit ribosomal RNA", at positions 497 to 916 of the family's 1533-position model. The record is from RNAcentral. Lineage: Bacteria; Pseudomonadati; Bacteroidota; Sphingobacteriia.